RNAcentral lists this ribosomal RNA (305 nucleotides) under uncultured bacterium. RNAcentral's name for it is "bacterial SSU rRNA". It matches the Rfam family "Bacterial small subunit ribosomal RNA", at positions 337 to 640 of the family's 1533-position model. The record is from RNAcentral.
ACCUACGGGACGCAGCAGUGAGGAAUAUUGGUCAAUGGCCGAGAGGCUGAACCAGCCAAGUCGCGUGAGGGAAGACGGCCCUACGGGUUGUAAACCUCUUUUGUCGGGGAGCAAAGCGAGUCACGUGUGACUCAUUGAGAGUACCCGAAGAAAAAGCAUCGGCUAACUCCGUGCCAGCAGCCGCGGUAAUACGGAGGAUGCGAGCGUUAUCCGGAUUUAUUGGGUUUAAAGGGUGCGCAGGCGGCGAGUUAAGUCAGCGGUAAAAUUUCGGGGCUCAACCCCGACAAGCCGUUGAAACUGGCUUG